Molecule: long non-coding RNA, 1030 nt
Filed under: Volvox carteri
Lineage: Eukaryota; Viridiplantae; Chlorophyta; Chlorophyceae; Chlamydomonadales; Volvocaceae
Description: long non-coding RNA (VCAR_LNC002515)
Source: RNAcentral
CGGCCUGGAACGUCUGCGUUUAGAUGUGUUUCGUCGCCUGCUAAGCCGCCCGGCCCUCAGUCAGCGCCGCCGCAGCCGCCGUCGCCGGCUAAGCCGCCGGGCCCACAGCCACCACCUCCGCAGCCGCCCUCGCCAGCUAAGCCACCUAGCCCUCAGCCACCGCCGCCGCAACCGCCCUCGCCGGUUAAGCCACCUAGCCCGCAGCCACCGCCGCCGCAGCCGCCCUCGCCAGCUAAGCCACCCAGCCCGCAGCCACCACCUCCGCAGCCACCCUCGCCACCUAAGCCGCCCAGCCCACAGCCACCACCUCCGCAGCCGCCCUCGCCAGCUAAGCCACCUAGCCCACAGCCACCACCGCCGCAGCCGCCGUCGCCACGCGCUAAGCCACCUAGCCCACAGCCACCACCUCCGCAGCCACCCUCGCCAGCUAAGCCGCCUAGCCCACAGCCACCACCUCCGCAGCCGCCCUCGCCACCUAAGCCGCCCAGCCCACAGCCACCGCCGCCGCAACCGCCCUCGCCGGUUAAGCCGCCCAGCCCGCAGCCACCACCUCCGCAGCCACCCUCGCCACCUAAGCCGCCCAGCCCACAGCCACCGCCGCCGCAACCGCCCUCGCCGGUUAAGCCACCUAGCCCACAGCCACCACCUCCGCAGCAGCCCUCGCCAGCUAAGCCGCCUAGCCCGCAGCCACCGCCGCCGCAACCGCCCUCGCCACCUAAGCCGCCCAGCCCACAGCCACCGCCGCCGCAACCGCCCUCGCCGGUUAAGCCACCAAUCCCACAGCCACCACCUCCGCAGCCGCCCUCGCCACCUAAGCCGCCUAGCCCUCAGCCACCGCCGCCGCAACCGCCCUCGCCGGUUAAGCCACCUAGCCCACAGCCACCACCUCCGCAGCAGCCCUCGCCAGCUAAGCCGCCUAGCCCGCAGCCACCGCCGCCGCAACCGCCCUCGCCACCUAAGCCACCUAGCCCACAGCCACCGCCGCCGCAGCAGCCCUCGCCGGUUAAGCCACCAAUCCCACAGCCACCAC